Non-coding RNA from Candidatus Gracilibacteria bacterium CG2_30_37_12, 74 nucleotides. NCBI's taxonomy places the organism in Bacteria, Candidatus Altimarinota. The record is from Rfam.
GCGGUCGUAGUUCAAUUGGUUAGAGCGCCAGACUGUGAAUCUGGAUGUUGCGAGUUCAAGCCUCGUCGACCGCC